UGGGGAAUAUUGGACAAUGGGCGAAAGCCUGAUCCAGCAAUGCCGCGUGAGUGAUGAAGGCCCUAGGGUUGUAAAGCUCCUUUACCCGGGAUGAUAAUGACAGUACCGGGAGAAUAAGCUCCGGCUAACUUCGUGCCAGCAGCCGCGGUAAUACGAGGGGAGCUAGCGUUGUUCGGAAUUACUGGGCGUAAAGCGCGCGUAGGCGGUUUUUUAAGUCAGAGGUGAAAGCCCGGGGCUCAACCCCGGAAUAGCCUUUGAAACUGGAAAACUAGAAUCUUGGAGAGGUCAGUGGAAUUCCGAGUGUAGAGGUGAAAUUCGUAGAUAUUCGGAAGAACACCAGUGGCGAAGGCGACUGACUGGACAAGUAUUGACGCUGAGGUGCGAAAGCGUGGGGAGCAAACA
RNAcentral lists this ribosomal RNA (402 nucleotides) under uncultured bacterium. RNAcentral's name for it is "bacterial SSU rRNA". It matches the Rfam family "Bacterial small subunit ribosomal RNA", at positions 355 to 774 of the family's 1533-position model. The record is from RNAcentral.